Molecule: ribosomal RNA, 326 nt
Filed under: uncultured eukaryote
Lineage: Eukaryota
Description: partial 18S ribosomal RNA
Rfam family: Eukaryotic small subunit ribosomal RNA
Source: RNAcentral
CCCUUAGAUGUUCUGGGCCGCACGCGCGCUACACUGAUGCAUUCAACAAGCCUAGCCUUGACCGAGAGGUCCGGGUAAUCUUUGAAACUGCAUCGUGAUGGGGCUAGAUUAUUGCAAUUAUUAAUCUUCAACGAGGAAUGCCUAGUAAGCGUGAUUCAUCAAAUCGCGUUGAUUACGUCCCUGCCCUUUGUACACACCGCCCGUCGCUCCUACCGAUUGAAUGUGUUGGUGAGGAGCUCGGAUUGGCAGCAGUUGGUGGUUCGCCACCGGCUAUUGCUGAGACGUCCUCCAAACCGCCCCAUUUAGAGGAAGGAGAAGUCGUAACA